This 274-nucleotide ribosomal RNA is filed under the name uncultured bacterium. RNAcentral's name for it is "partial 16S ribosomal RNA". It matches the Rfam family "Bacterial small subunit ribosomal RNA", at positions 523 to 796 of the family's 1533-position model. The record is from RNAcentral.
AUACGGAGGGUGCAAGCGUUAAUCGGAAUUACUGGGCGUAAAGGGCGCGUAGGCGGUCUAUCAAGUCAGGUGUGAAAUCCCACGGCUCAACCGUGGAGGUGCAUCUGAAACUGAUAGACUUGAGUAUGGGAGAGGAAAGUGGAAUUCCCGGUGUAGAGGUGAAAUUCGUAGAUAUCGGGAGGAACACCAGUGGCGAAGGCGACUUUCUGGACCAAUACUGACGCUGAGGCGCGAAAGCGUGGGGAGCAAACAGGAUUAGAGACCCUAGUAGUCC